This is a long non-coding RNA of Patella vulgata (common limpet), 976 nucleotides long. RefSeq lists it as uncharacterized. NCBI's taxonomy places the organism in Eukaryota, Metazoa, Mollusca, Gastropoda, Patellidae. The record is from RefSeq and is a predicted model, not a curated record. The transcript is spliced from 4 exons.
AUUACUGUAUGGUUUAUUUAAUACAAAGGUGUAGACAUUUUGAAAAUUUUUAAAUUGGAGUUCACUAUAACCUGUGUAAUCGAUAUUUAGUAAUGGCUGCUGCGUUGAAUAUAUCUUUGUACCUGUUCUCCUGUUUUUGUUCGAUUAUACAAGCCGAGUACUGUUACUAUUAUGAAAAUGGUUUUAAAUAUAUCCAAGCCUCUAAGUAUUGUUCUGAUGGAUGUUGUACCACCGGAACUGACGCCACCAUUUACAACGUAUGUUGCUAUUCCUACGACAACGGGGGCGAAAACAGUCAUUUGAUCAAUACCAUCAUAGGAAUAGCAGUAGGUGUAGUGGCAUGUGUUAUAUCUAUCGUAGUGGUUAUAGUUAUUAUUGCAUGUUGUUGCUGUAAACGACAACCACCAACCCAGGGUCAUGUUAUUGCAGUCCCAAACACAACUGUGGUAUAUUCUAAUACUGUUGAUCCAGGAGUUGCGUAUCCUUCACAAGGAACUAAUAACCCGACAUCUCCUGCAACUGGAUAUUCUUCUCCACCACCGCCUUAUGAAACAGGUACCUCCCCCGGACAAGAUAACCAUGGCUUCCAAACAAAUGUCAAUAUGAAUUAAUUAACUUCAGUGAUAAUGAGUGAUUAUUAACUGUAUAUAGACAGAAAACCGUUGAUCGUAUGAACUGUAUAUGGAGAAUUGUUUGAGAUUUGUUUGUUAAAUUAAUUGUAUAAAGGCAGAUGAUGGUUUAUUAUAUUAACUAUAUAUAGAUAUAUAAUGGUUUUUUAUAUUAAUUGUAUAUAGACAGGGAACUGUUUAUUAUAUUAACUGUACAUAGACACCAACCCCACAUGCCUGAAUCUGAAUUUCGUUUCAUCUGGAUAUUCAAGAAAAUAAUCCAAUUAAUCCAAAACUCACUCAUUUUGGAUGAACACCAACUUGUUGAUCUACUUAAUGUUUAUUAUAAAAUAAAAAAUAUUUCUUAA